CCCGACCCUCAUGUUUUUAAAGAGAAUUGGAAUCCUAUGUGAAUAAGGUGGGAAAACUGGAAAGAUUGAAUGUCCUUUGGAGUUCACAGAGGUUUGGCAGUGGGAGGAGAAAAACAAAACGAAGCAUAGUGGGAG
This 135-nucleotide long non-coding RNA is filed under the name Macaca nemestrina (pig-tailed macaque). RNAcentral describes it as "lncRNA (ENSMNEG00000045967.1)". Lineage: Eukaryota; Metazoa; Chordata; Mammalia; Primates; Cercopithecidae. The record is from RNAcentral.